Molecule: regulatory RNA element, 100 nt
Organism: marine gamma proteobacterium HTCC2148
Lineage: Bacteria; Pseudomonadati; Pseudomonadota; Gammaproteobacteria; Cellvibrionales; Halieaceae
Rfam family: Pyrrolysine insertion sequence mttB
Source: Rfam
AUGUCUGACUCUAAACUUCCAAACUUCCAGGGAGGUGCAGAGCAUGCGUCAAAUGCCGCCGUUACUGCAUUGUCGGGGGCAAACAUCGUGUAUGAGUCCG